GACGAACGCUGGCGGCGUGCUUAACACAUGCAAGUCGAACGGAAAGGCCCUGCUUUUGUGGGGUGCUCGAGUGGCGAACGGGUGAGUAACACGUGAGUAACCUGCCCUUGACUUUGGGAUAACUUCAGGAAACUGGGGCUAAUACCGGAUAUGAGCUCCUGCUGCAUGGUGGGGGUUGGAAAGUUUCGGCGGUUGGGGAUGGACUCGCGGCUUAUCAGCUUGUUGGUGGGGUAGUGGCUUACCAAGGCUUUGACGGGUAGCCGGCCUGAGAGGGUGACCGGCCACAAUGGGACUGAGAGACGGCCCAGACUCCUACCGGAGGCAGCAGGGGGGAAUAUUGCACAAUGGGCGGAAGCCUGAUGCAGCAACGCCGCGUGCGGGAUGACGGCCUUCGGGUUGUAAACCGCUUUCGCCUGUGACGAAGCGUGAGUGACGGUAAUGGGUAAAGAAGCACCGGCUAACUACGUG
RNAcentral lists this ribosomal RNA (468 nucleotides) under uncultured bacterium. RNAcentral's name for it is "partial 16S ribosomal RNA". It matches the Rfam family "Bacterial small subunit ribosomal RNA", at positions 28 to 507 of the family's 1533-position model. The record is from RNAcentral.